RNAcentral lists this ribosomal RNA (242 nucleotides) under uncultured Synergistaceae bacterium. Its description in RNAcentral is "partial 16S ribosomal RNA". It matches the Rfam family "Bacterial small subunit ribosomal RNA", at positions 1142 to 1381 of the family's 1533-position model. Lineage: Bacteria; Thermotogati; Synergistota; Synergistia; Synergistales; Synergistaceae. The record is from RNAcentral.
GGAAGGACUGCCAUCGACAAGAUGGAGGAAGGUGGGGAUGACGUCAAGUCAUCAUGGCCCUUAUGUCCAGGGCGACACACGUGCUACAAUGGCCGGCACAACGGGAAGCGAGUUCGCGAGGACGAGCGGAUCCCUCAAAGCCGGUCGCAGUUCGGGUUGAAGUCUGCAACUCGACUUCAUGAAGCUGGAAUCGCUAGUAAUCGCAGAUCAGCCAAGCUGCGGUGAAUACGUUCCCGGGCCUC